GACACAGUCAUGCAUACCUGUAGUCCCAGCUACUCAGGAGCCUCAGGUGGGAGGAUUGCUCGAGCCCAGGAGUUCCGGGCUGUAGCACGCCAUGGCAAUCAGGUGUCCUCACUAAGUUUGGCAUCAGUGUGGUGACCUCUGAGAAGGCAACACAAGGUUGCCUAAGGAGGGGUGAACUGACCCAGGGAGAAAAUGGAGCAGGUCAAAACUCCUGUGCAGAUCAGUAGUGGGAUCGCACCUGUGAAUAGCCACAGCACCCCAGCCUAGGGAACAUAGCAAGAACUGUCUUU
This 290-nucleotide signal recognition particle RNA is filed under the name Mandrillus leucophaeus (drill). Its description in RNAcentral is "Metazoan signal recognition particle RNA (ENSMLEG00000012515.1)". It matches the Rfam family "Metazoan signal recognition particle RNA". From Rfam's summary of the family: The signal recognition particle (SRP) is a universally conserved ribonucleoprotein. It is involved in the co-translational targeting of proteins to membranes. Lineage: Eukaryota; Metazoa; Chordata; Mammalia; Primates; Cercopithecidae. The record is from Rfam by way of RNAcentral.